RNAcentral lists this ribosomal RNA (254 nucleotides) under uncultured bacterium. Its description in RNAcentral is "partial 16S ribosomal RNA". It matches the Rfam family "Bacterial small subunit ribosomal RNA", at positions 524 to 776 of the family's 1533-position model. The record is from RNAcentral.
UACGUAGGGGGCAAGCGUUGUCCGGAUUUAUUGGGCGUAAAGAGCUCGUAGGUGGUUUGUUAAGUCGGAUGUGAAAUCUCCAGGCUCAACCUGGAGGGGUCCUUCGAUACUGCCAUGACUAGAGGUCGGUAGGGGAGUGUGGAAUUCCUGGUGGAGCGGUGAAAUGCGCAGAUAUCAGGAGGAACACCCGUAGCGAAGGCGGCACUCUGGGCCGAUUCUGACACUGAGGAGCGAAAGCGUGGGGAGCGAACAGG